Arachis ipaensis is the source of this 680-nucleotide non-coding RNA. NCBI's taxonomy places the organism in Eukaryota, Viridiplantae, Streptophyta, Magnoliopsida, Fabales, Fabaceae. The record is from RefSeq and is a predicted model, not a curated record.
AAAAAAAACAAAAUGUUGUUUGUGUUUCUAGGUUUCUCACCCAACAUUCAAAUCUCAAACUAAACACUCUCCUCUCUAUCGUUGUCGGCAGUCUCUCUCGUGUCUUCUCCUUCACACUCGGCUCCAUCCUUUUCCUUCUCUUCUCUCCGAUAAAGAAGAUGAAGAAGCCCUCUUUUCCUUCCUCCACGGCGCCCUGCCAAGGUCACCGCAGCAUUCGUCGCGCUCCUCACCCAUCCGAGGAGAACGUCGUCACGUCAGAGAGCGCCGCUGUCUUCCUUCUUUUUCAUCGUCAUCGUCAGCCUCUCCCUUCCAGAAAAAGUCAGAGCAACUAAAUGCGACUUCAAAUCCAAGCUUCUGAUAACUGCAAAAUGGUUGAUGACAUAUUUGAGGUUUCAUCAUGCAUAAGGCAUUGGAGCAGGAUCUUGAAGACAAUACCCAACACCACUAAAGUAGUCCCUUUAAAUAGAUUAUUAUUAUUGCCUAACUGCCUUAAUUAAUUUGGGCAACUACUAGGAUUUGGUGUUAUAUAGAUUACCUUCAUAAGUGACUACAGAGAUCCUAUGUGUAGCUAUAAUAUAUUUGUAUUGAUUUAUGAAAUGAGGUUAGUUAAGCUUGUGUUUAUGUCCUCCAAUGUAAUCACAUUUUUUUAAGAAGAGAAAAUUAUACUUUCUUUAACUGGA